UUUGAAUGAUGAAUACAAUUAGUUCUGAUUUUUGAUGAACUUCAAACCGAGCUUUUUAAUUCUGACAUCC
This 70-nucleotide small nucleolar RNA is filed under the name Mitosporidium daphniae. The record is from RNAcentral. Lineage: Eukaryota; Fungi; Microsporidia.